GCCGUCAUAGCUCAGUUGGGAGAGCGACAGACUGAAGCUUAUGUAAGAGAUUACGUAAUAAAGCCCUUCUGCAGGUCACCCGUUCGAUCCGGGUUGACGGCA
Tulasnella sp. 417 is the source of this 102-nucleotide non-coding RNA. NCBI's taxonomy places the organism in Eukaryota, Fungi, Basidiomycota, Agaricomycetes, Cantharellales, Tulasnellaceae. The record is from the annotation of a GenBank genome assembly.